AGAGUUUGAUUCUGGCUCAGGAUAAACGCUGGCGGCGCACAUAAGACAUGCAAGUCGAACGGACUUAACCAUUAGUUUACUAUUGGAGCGGUUAGUGGCGGACUGGUGAGUAACGCGUAAGUAAUCUGCCUAUAAGAGGGGAAUAACAGUGAGAAAUCAUUGCUAAUACCGCAUAAGCUCUAAGUAUCGCAUGAUACAAAGAGAAAAGGAGAAAUCCGCUUAUAGAUGAACUUGCGUCUGAUUAGUUAGUUGGUGAGGUAAAGGCCCACCAAGACGAUGAUCAGUAGCCGGACUGAGAGGUUGAACGGCCACAUUGGGACUGAGAUACGGCCCAGACUCCUACGGGAGGCAGCAGUCGGGAAUAUUGCGCAAUGGAGGAAACUCUGACGCAGUGACGCCGCGUGC
Molecule: ribosomal RNA, 405 nt
Filed under: uncultured bacterium
Lineage: Bacteria
Description: bacterial SSU rRNA
Rfam family: Bacterial small subunit ribosomal RNA
Source: RNAcentral